Molecule: ribosomal RNA, 490 nt
Filed under: uncultured bacterium
Lineage: Bacteria
Description: partial 16S ribosomal RNA
Rfam family: Bacterial small subunit ribosomal RNA
Source: RNAcentral
GAUGAACGCUGGCUACAGGCUUAACACAUGCAAGUCGAGGGGAAACGACGGGGAAGCUUGCUUCCCCGGGCGUCGACCGGCGCACGGGUGAGUAACGCGUAUCCAACCUGCCUCUGACUGAGGGAUAACCCGUCGAAAGUCGGCCUAAUACCUCAUGGCAUCGUCUGCGGGCAUCCAACGACGAUUAAAGAUUUCAUCGGUCAGAGAUGGGGAUGCGUCUGAUUAGCUUGUUGGCGGGGUAACGGCGCACCAAGGCGACGAUCAGUAGGGGUUCUGAGAGGAAGGUCCCCCACAUUGGAACGGAGACACGGGCCAAACGCCUACGGGAGGCAUCAGUGGGGAAGAUGGGUCAAUGGGCGAUGGCCUGAACCAGCCAAGUAGCGUGCAGGAUGACGGCCCUAUGGGUUGUAAACUGCUUUUAUGCGGGGAUAAAGUGAGGGACGUGUCCUUCAUUGCAGGUACCGCAUGAAUAAGGACCGGCUAAUUCCGU